Molecule: ribosomal RNA, 244 nt
Filed under: uncultured bacterium
Lineage: Bacteria
Description: partial 16S ribosomal RNA
Rfam family: Bacterial small subunit ribosomal RNA
Source: RNAcentral
GAUCAUAACUCAGGACGAACGCUGGCGGCGCGCCUAACACAUGCAAGUCGAACGAGCGAGAGAGAGCUUGCUUUCUCGAGCGAGUGGCGAACGGGUGAGUAACGCGUGAGGAACCUGCCUCAAAGAGGGGGACAACAGUUGGAAACGACUGCUAAUACCGCAUAAGCCCACGACCCGGCAUCGGGUUGAGGGAAAAGGAGCAAUCCGCUUUGAGAUGGCCUCGCGUCCGAUUAGCUAGUUGGUG